Molecule: unclassified non-coding RNA, 147 nt
Organism: Papio anubis (olive baboon)
Lineage: Eukaryota; Metazoa; Chordata; Mammalia; Primates; Cercopithecidae
Rfam family: Metazoan signal recognition particle RNA
About the family: The signal recognition particle (SRP) is a universally conserved ribonucleoprotein.
Source: Ensembl
GCCGGGCAUGGUGGCGCAUGCCUGUAAUCCUAGCUACUUGGGAGGCUGAGGCAGAAGAAUCGCUUGCACCCAGGAGGUGGAGGUUGCAGUGAGCCAAGAUUGCGCCAUCGCACUCCAGCCUGGUGACAGAGUGAGACUCUGUCUCAA